Molecule: ribosomal RNA, 864 nt
Filed under: Neoroussoella sp. ST-2018a
Lineage: Eukaryota; Fungi; Ascomycota; Dothideomycetes; Pleosporales; Thyridariaceae
Description: SSU rRNA
Rfam family: Eukaryotic small subunit ribosomal RNA
Source: RNAcentral
UUAUACCGUGAAACUGCGAAUGGCUCAUUAAAUCAGUUAUCGUUUAUUUGAUAGUACCUUACUACUUGGAUACCCGUGGUAAUUCUAGAGCUAAUACAUGCAAAAAACCCCGACUUCGGGAGGGGUGUAUUUAUUAGAUAAAAAACCAAUGCCCUUCGGGGCUCUUUGGUGAUUCAUGAUAACUUAACGGAUCGCAUGGCCUUGCGCCGGCGACGGUUCAUUCAAAUUUCUGCCCUAUCAACUUUCGAUGGUAAGGUAUUGGCUUACCAUGGUUUCAACGGGUAACGGAUUUUUAGGGAAAGAUCCCGGAGAGGGAGCCUGAGAAACGGCUACCACAUCCAAGGAAGGCAGCAGGCGCGCAAAUUACCCAAUCCCGACACGGGGAGGUAGUGACAAUAAAUACUGAUACAGGGCUCUUUUGGGUCUUGUAAUCGGAAUGAGUACAAUUUAAAUACCUUAACGAGGAACAAUUGGAGGGCAAGUCUGGUGCCAGCAGCCGCGGUAAUUCCAGCUCCAAUAGCGUAUAUUAAAGUUGUUGCAGUUAAAAAGCUCGUAGUUGAACCUUGGGCCUGGCUGGCCGGUCCGCCUCACCGCGUGUACUGGUCCGGCCGGGCCUUUCCUUCUGGAGAACCCCAUGCCCUUCACUGGGCGUGGCGGGGAACCAGGACUUUUACUUUGAGAAAAUUAGAGUGUUCAAAGCAGGCCUUUGCUCGAAUACGUUAGCAUGGAAUAAUAGAAUAGGACGUGUGGUUCUAUUUUGUUGGUUUCUAGAACCGCCGUAAUGAUUAAUAGGGAUAGUCGGGGGCGUCAGUAUUCAAUUGUCAGAGGUGAAAUUCUUGGAUCUAUUGAAGACUAACUACUGCG